This 1423-nucleotide long non-coding RNA is filed under the name Bemisia tabaci. RNAcentral describes it as "lncRNA ENSASIAIIG004579". The record is from RNAcentral. Lineage: Eukaryota; Metazoa; Arthropoda; Insecta; Hemiptera; Aleyrodidae.
UUUUGUAACUUUGAUAUCCAUCACACCUAAAAACUCACCUUUCUCGUUUUUUCUGUGUUCCAGUGGACAGCGGUGUCGACGACGUGGUAGCAGGACCCGAGGGGGCGGGCUCCGGGGCGGGGGAAGGUUCGGUCUGCUCGGAGGAGCUCGAGGAGGGCUCCAACUCCCUGGUCAUCGACGAAGACGCCGACAUCGCCUCGCUCGCCGACGCCGAAGACGCCGACACGAACCACAACACGCCGCCCAAACGCCCCCCGCCCACCUCGCCCACCGUCAACGGGCGCGCCCCCCGGAAGCCCGACGACCCGGACGACGUCAACGACGGCGAUGACGAGGAUGACGUCGAGGAGGACUCGGACCACCAGCAGAACAUCAUGGAGGCCUACGAGAGGCUCGAGUCCUUCAAGGUGUUAAACGGAAUCGAAGAGGCCGAAAGCAACAUCAUCCUGAACAACCUGAACGUGAGGAGAGGUGGCCCGCGCGACACGAAGCUCAAGGAACUCCUGGAGCGCUCCUACACUGCCCUCAACCUCAACUCCCCCACCAAGUCCCCCGCACCCAGUUCCAGCCCCAAUCCCGCUACCAAAGAUGCCGAUCUUAACCUAGAAAAUAGUAAUUCAGACCAAGUCAACACUGGUGACAAACGUGUUGUGUUCCAGCACGAGUCGACUCUUAUUGCCCACUCUAGCAUGCGAUCGCUGUUCGGUCACCUCCGGCUAGAACGUGUCCACCCUCGGUUCGAGAGCAAACGCCGAUGCCGAAAGAAGUAGACAGCCGUCAUUUCCUUAAACAAUAGCCCGGUGUCCACCUUGAGUGUACCUUCGCGAACACGGUAAAUAAAUCGAUCGUGAAAUCUCGAAAACACGUACCUCCAUUCGCGACGCUCUCAGCUCCUGCCAAUAUUUACUCUUCAAGAUUCGACUAAUGAUGACUGAUCACCAUAGAACUGAGCAUUCAGUUUGUCAAUUUAAACAAAAUAGUGUAUCUCCUUCGGAAAAUACACCAAUGAAAAAGUUAAUUUACAAAAACUCGUCCAGCAAAGUGCCAUCUCCCCUCUUCUACAGUCAUCAGUCGUCAUCAGGUGCAUUUUAUUUUAUAUUUUGCUAAAAAAGUUACACUAACCAACCUUAGGCGGAAAUUAGCGUUGACAUUUAAAAACUUUCACCCAAAUCGAUUAUUUCUCUCAAAUUUUUAACGUGCGGGCUCAAAAAUCUAUUGUCCAUAGACCAGAACUAGUAAAUAGGACAAGUUUUGGUUAUUUUCCCGCAGGAAGUAAUUCAAUUCGCAGUCAUUCCACAUCCAAAAUUGGGCAGACAAUAGUCUCACGUAAAGCUCUCACAGAACCAUUCGUAAGGGAAAUGGCAGAGGCGCACAUUGGAUCGUGUCAAUAGGAGAAUUUGGACAAAAUAUGGAAACUUUAAAA